Biomphalaria pfeifferi is the source of this 623-nucleotide non-coding RNA. The record is from the annotation of a GenBank genome assembly. Lineage: Eukaryota; Metazoa; Mollusca; Gastropoda; Planorbidae.
GUAAAAAACACCCAUUUCAGAUCAUGUGAUCUGUUGCUAUGUCUGACGGGUUAUUUGGCCAACACAAUCAGCAACUGCUUGACUUUUCCCCAACUAAUGUCUGGUACACAUUAGCAUUGGGUGGAAUCUGGUGUGCCCUUAACAUCCCAAGAUAAAAAAAAUCCCAGUCUUCACAGAUUUGAACCCUGGUCUCUUAAGCCAAGUGCUUUACUGCUAGGCCACCAUGCCCCCAGAUGCAUGUAUACUAAUUGUUGGUACCUCCAUAGUUGACACUGCUGCCACCUAUGUUUCACAUCCUCCACGUCCCUCUGUGCACAUUUCUCUGUGCAUGACUUUCUCCUCCUCCUGUUGUCACUUCAAUUAACAAAGUUGCUUGUGAAAAACUAAUGAUCAAAAUUCUGUAACACAUUUUGUUACUGACAAGUGUGUGGAUUUGUUGAUUUUUUUGUUUGUUUGUGUGUGUGUGUGAUAUGUGUGGUCAUGUGAAACUACUGCUAGAAACUGACCACUUGUUUAUAUACACUCUUAAACUUGAGUUGUGUAAUUGAACCUUGUCUUGGGGAUUUUUUGAGAACAUAUUUAUUACCGUUUUAUUUGUGCGUGUGUGAACAUUAACUAGAUUU